AGGUCGGUUUCCAGAGAUGGAUUCCUCCCAGCAAUGGGCCUGAACACAGGUGCUGCAUGGCGUGUCGUCAGCUCGUGUCGUGAGAUGUUGGGUUAAGUCCCGCAACGAGCGCAACCCCCGCCUUCAGUUGCCAACCGGUUCGGCCGUGCACUCUGGAGGAACUGCCUGUGACAAGCAGGAGGAAGGUGGGGAUGACGUCAAGUCCUCAUGGCCCUUAUGGGCUGGGCUACACACGUGCUACAAUGGCGGUGACAGAGGGAUGCAAUACCGACGAGGUGGAGCAAAUCCCUAAAAGCCGUACCUCAGUUCGGAUUGUUCUCUGCAACUCGAGAGCAUGAAGUUGGAAUCGCUAGUAAUCGCAGAUCAGCUCGCUGCGGUGAAUACGUUCCCCGGGCCUU
This 398-nucleotide ribosomal RNA is filed under the name uncultured Alphaproteobacteria bacterium. RNAcentral's name for it is "bacterial SSU rRNA". It matches the Rfam family "Bacterial small subunit ribosomal RNA", at positions 991 to 1382 of the family's 1533-position model. Lineage: Bacteria; Pseudomonadati; Pseudomonadota; Alphaproteobacteria. The record is from RNAcentral.